GAUGAACGCUGGCGGCGUGCUUAACACAUGCAAGUCGAACGAGGUGCAAGGACGGAAGUUUUCGGACGGAAGAUCUUGUACUGAGUGGCGGACGGGUGAGUAACGCGUGGGAAACCUGCCCUGUUCCGGGGGAUACCAGUUGGAAACGACUGUUAAUACCGCAUAAGCGCACAGCACCGCAUGGUGCAGUGUGAAAAACUCCGGUGGAACAGGAUGGUCCCGCGUCUGAUUAGCUAGUUGGUGGGGUAACGGCCUACCAAGGCGGCGAUCAGUAGCCGGACUGAGAGGUUGAACGGCCACAUUGGGACUGAGACACGGCCCAG
This 323-nucleotide ribosomal RNA is filed under the name uncultured bacterium. Its description in RNAcentral is "bacterial SSU rRNA". It matches the Rfam family "Bacterial small subunit ribosomal RNA", at positions 28 to 334 of the family's 1533-position model. The record is from RNAcentral.